RNAcentral lists this ribosomal RNA (301 nucleotides) under uncultured bacterium. RNAcentral describes it as "partial 16S ribosomal RNA". It matches the Rfam family "Bacterial small subunit ribosomal RNA", at positions 509 to 807 of the family's 1533-position model. The record is from RNAcentral.
CAGCCGCCGCGGGAAAACAGAGGGUGCGAGCGUUAAUCGGAUUUACUGGGCGUAAAGCGUGCGUAGGCGGCUUUUUAAGUCGGAUGUGAAAUCCCUGAGCUUAACUUAGGAAUUGCAUUCGAUACUGGGAAGCUAGAGUAUGGGAGAGGAUGGUAGAAUUCCAGGUGUAGCGGUGAAAUGCGUAGAGAUCUGGAGGAAUACCGAUGGCGAAGGCAGCCAUCUGGCCUAAUACUGACGCUGAGGUACGAAAGCAUGGGGAGCAAACAGGAUUAGAUACCCGAGUAGUCCCUGUCUCUUAUAC